AUUGAACGCUGGCGGUAGGCCUAACACAUGCAAGUCGAACGCGAAAGUCCUUCGGAUGAGUAGAGUGGCGGACGGGUGAGUAACGCGUAGGAAUCUAUCCUGUAGUGGGGGAUAACGUUUCGAAAGGAACGCUAAUACCGCAUACGCCCCAAGGGGGAAAGCGGGGGAUCUUCGGACCUCGUGCUAUAGGAGGAGCCUGCGUCGGAUUAGCUAGUUGGUGAGGUAAAGGCUCACCAAGGCGACGAUCCGUAGCUGGUCUGAGAGGAUGAUCAGCCACACCGGAACUGAGACACGGUCCGGACUCCUACGGGAGGCAGCAGUGGGGAAUAUUGCGCAAUGGGCGAAAGCCUGACGCAGCCAUACCGCGUGUGUGAAGAAGGCCUCGGUUGUAAGACACUUUCUAGUGGGAGGAAAAGGACGUAGGUGGCGUAAU
Molecule: ribosomal RNA, 433 nt
Filed under: uncultured bacterium
Lineage: Bacteria
Description: bacterial SSU rRNA
Rfam family: Bacterial small subunit ribosomal RNA
Source: RNAcentral